UGCAUUAUCUGCAAUUCUUUGAUUUACUAAAAUUGCCUUAUUGCAUAUUCUCCUUUGAAUCGAAAUGCAGAAAGUUGACGAAAUGUACGCUAUGCAAUACUUUUCAGAGUUGCAUUGUUACAUUAGGCCACUUUCAUGCAUUCAUAUUGGAAAUUUAAAGGCAUAUCUUUAUCGUUUCACUAAGCUUUCAUCGUAAUAGUAGCAGCGUUCUGUAGCCUUAUUUCAUCAGCCGUCCUAGUCUCGUUUGUUUUCAUUGGUCUUUUUUAUUCCGCAAAAUGUUAUGUUUGGCGAAAGGUCCAGUUUUUUUCUUCGACGAAGUUAACUUGUCUUUAGGAAUGUUAUGUUCCUUUUUAGAGAACUCUUUAGGCCUCCGAAUCUGAAAGGCUUUCCCACCUGCCAACUCUAGAGUUUGAAACCAUGAUUUGCCGAUGAAAUUUGGAAUUUCAGGUUUAUCAAAAACUAGUAGCGGACAUCUAUGGUCUUUUUUGUUAAUUUUCGCUCUGGCGAUAAAGUAGCCCAUCACAUCCUUCCACUCCAACUUAUACUUGAUUCGUCUCCCGCGUAGAACCUCGAUUAAACCGCGUCUUGCCACUUGAUUACCGGACCAUUCAUCGAAACUGAUAGGAAGCAAUUCAGGUUCACCCAACUCCUGCCAUAGAGACUUGUUAAUGCAGGAAAAUCGACAUCGGGUAUCUAUAGCCAUGUUAACGGGAAUUUCGUUGAUUAGAAUCCGAACUUGUUUCGAAACUGGCAUGGGAAUGAAUUUCCGUGAUUCCGUCGUUGAUGGGACGAUAUCGUCCUCUGAAUUUUUUGCCAUUCGGGAUAAAUCUGGUUUAUUUAAUUUGGCGUUUUUUAAAGCUCGUAACCUUGCCUUUGUUUUCUUCCUUAACUCAUUUUCGGCCCAUUUCUUGGCUAGAGCUGCGUCUACUCCUGCAUAUUUGUUUUUGCUCUGUGUUGUUAAUAGCAAGGCAGUCUCAUAUUUUUCAUCGAUCGCCCGUAGUUUUGAUCUAGCAGCAUCGCGCUCUCGUUCUAAUCGUUUGAUCUUGGUCAUAUAAUCGGCUCUUUCCUGUUCGUUUAAUUCAGCUCUAACGAAUUGUCCUGAUUGGGUGGGGGAAUUGAUUGGAACAACCACCUUGCCAUUGAGUUGCGCCGUUCGUACUUCAGCAUUCGAUGCUCCGGCCAAGGGAUUUUCUCUGUUCUUUGACGGUUCAAAAAACGUGGAUCCUAUCGGAGUUUUGUCCAGUUCGGUCAAUAUUUCAUCGUUACCAACAAAAUCAACAGGGUCUUUGCUUAUUUUUCCAUCGUUCAUGACUUUGUCUUUGACCGUUUUUUCUGCAAUAUCUUUCGACGGGAUUUGGAGCCUCGGUUCUAUUCCCAUGUCUGCACAUGCUUGUAGUUCUUUUCUCGCUUUCGUUAAAGCCCUAUUUGUCCAAGCCAAAUCCAUCUUGUAAUAUUUUAGUUUCUCUUGUGCCAGUUCGUAAUUGCGUAGAGACACGUCAGGUUUCAAUUCGGGCCCACAUCUGUUUUUAGUAACUGUAAUAACUUCUGAUUUCCACUCAUCCGCCGGGUGUUCUUUCUUUGAUGCAGAUGCUUCAUCAGUUCGUAAAUUCGGUCCGGUAUGAUCUUCGUUGACGCUAAUCCUUCCUGGUAUAGGGAAAAUUGCAUACAGCAUGUCGCGGAUGAAUUUACCCAAAAAUAUGCAGAAGAUAAGAACAUAGACUCUUAGCAUGGAUUCUGGUUGUAAUAAGCCGUGAAUGACAUAUUCGAAAAACAGAAAUGGGUUGCGAUGCAAACUACGCGAUGACCAAUUGCCAAACACGAUGGGAGACCACACUUUGAAUGGAAGAAAGAGCUCUCCAUCAGCGGGAGGAGGUGAUUUGGACUUGCUGGAGUACCUGAUUUCUUCAACAGUCGCGCCUGCAUCCGCGUGUCGAACUGCUUUCGUUCCAGCACAUUUUUAUGGCGGUAGCACGUUGGGCGUAGAAUUUGAAAAAUCAAGAAUGUCGAUCUGAAGAAAACAAUCGAUAGCGAAACGCAUUCAAAUCAGAAGAUGGUAUUGUUGAUCUUGUGGCGGUGCAUUCCUUGUGAGUUUGGAUUCAUGAACAUCUCAAAUAAGAGUCACGCCAUUUCGUGAGAUGUUUAGCAGGAGUAAGAUAAAACUUCGUCAGUGAGAAAUGGCAUGAUGGGAAGAACCAUACUAGUCUGAUUCCGUGUCUAACAUACCUGAUAACAUAGGAAACAAUGUUACACAUAAAAUGUAAUUUUUUAAAUAUUUCUCUUCCAACACAUUUCAUUAAGAUCAAAACUGAAAAGAAAACCACAUACCAUUAUACUUUAGUUAAAAAUUCCUUAAAAACACAUAAAAAUUAAGAAAAAUUUCUGACACAGAUUUCCCUCGUUAAUUGAUACCACUCAGAAUAGUGACACAGCAAUGCUAUCUAGUUUUUCUAUCUGCAACCCACUCACUUUUCUAUUCCGGAUUCUUAAUGUCUUUAAGGACAUAAAGCUAUAGCACACAGUUUUAUAAAGUGCAUUGGUUAGUGUCGUUGUCGUAUCAAACCAUAACUUAUCACAGGUAAUACUCAACGGCUCAUAUACUGGAAUAUUACAACUCAUAUGAAGAAUGUGUAGUUGUACAUCAUAAUAGAUGAUCAAUUCUCUUCAA
Molecule: long non-coding RNA, 2665 nt
Filed under: Daphnia magna
Lineage: Eukaryota; Metazoa; Arthropoda; Branchiopoda; Diplostraca; Daphniidae
Description: uncharacterized LOC123477081
Source: RNAcentral